This 465-nucleotide ribosomal RNA is filed under the name uncultured bacterium. RNAcentral describes it as "partial 16S ribosomal RNA". It matches the Rfam family "Bacterial small subunit ribosomal RNA", at positions 28 to 507 of the family's 1533-position model. The record is from RNAcentral.
GACGAACGCUGGCGGCGUGCUUAACACAUGCAAGUCGUACGGUAAGGCCCUUUCGGGGGUACACGAGUGGCGAACGGGUGAGUAACACGUGAGUAACCUGCCCACAACUUUGGGAUAACGCUAGGAAACUGGUGCUAAUACUGGAUAUGUGCUCCUGCUGCAUGGUGGGGGUUGGAAAGCUCCGGCGGUUGUGGAUGGACUCGCGGCCUAUCAGCUUGUUGGUGGGGUAGUGGCCUACCAAGGCGGCGACGGGUAGCCGGCCUGAGAGGGUGACCGGCCACAUCGGGACUGAGAUACGGCCCAGACUCCUACGGGAGGCAGCAGUGGGGAAUAUUGCACAAUGGGCGCAAGCCUGAUGCAGCAACGCCGCGUGCGGGAUGACGGCCUUCGGGUUGUAAACCGCUUUCAGCAGGGACGAAGCUUUUUGUGACGGUACCUGCAGAAGAAGCACCGGCUAACUACGUG